AUACAGUCAUGGAUUCACAAACCUGUAACACUUGUCCGCGGUUCGUCUGACGCUGCUUCUGAAUCUCUCUCUGGCCGAGACUCGAAACGGAUCUGGCCUACUGGAAGGACCACUACCAGUCCAGUGACCGGGGUCUCCAGCGUCCCUCUCCCACGGGGCAUCGCUCAUACAGGCACGGGCCAAAUGUCAACUAUGACUACUACUAAAACACCAAGAAUAUGUUUCCAAGACAUAACCGCUCUGAUUUACCUCACAGUGAUGUCAGCUUGCUUCUUCCAGCUGCAGCUUGUGCUUCCUCUUGAGAAAAUCAAGAGAGAGAAAUGGGUUUAUGAAUAGAAAUGUAGCAGAGGACAGUUAUUAGGCAGAAGAACAGGGAAAGUGAGGUUAAAAAUACAAUACAGUAAAUAUUUUAUUAAAAUAUCCUUUUCACAUGACAUUAAUAAUAGGUUCAAAGUUCUGUAUGAAGUUUCACAAAGGUAACAACAGAUUUUGCUCAAAAUCAUCACCAAGAUUAAAGCAGAAUGAACAUUUUCCAAAGCUUUUCUCUCCAAAUUUCUUGACCGAGCUGGAUGAGGUUUCCUGCUCCAGUCCAGACAUUCAAGAUCUUCAAAUAAUUUUCUGAAUUUCCUACAGGUGUCCAUUCAACAAACACACCUCUGGCUUUGACAAUGAUAAAAAAAA
Molecule: long non-coding RNA, 681 nt
Organism: Carassius auratus (goldfish)
Lineage: Eukaryota; Metazoa; Chordata; Actinopteri; Cypriniformes; Cyprinidae
Exons: 2
Source: RefSeq, a predicted model, not a curated record